This 83-nucleotide transfer RNA is filed under the name Candidatus Altarchaeales archaeon. RNAcentral describes it as "Candidatus Altiarchaeales archaeon tRNA-Leu". It matches the Rfam family "tRNA". Rfam says of the family: Transfer RNA (tRNA) molecules are approximately 80 nucleotides in length. The record is from RNAcentral. Lineage: Archaea; Nanobdellati; Candidatus Altarchaeota; Candidatus Altarchaeia; Candidatus Altarchaeales.
GCGGGGGUGCCCGAGGUGGCCAAAGGGGCAGGACUUAAGAUCCUGUGGCUUAGGCCUACGUGGGUUCGAAUCCCAUCCCCCGC